GCUGCCAGUGGAGAAUUGGGACCCCAAGCCAGGAUAGAUUUUUUUUGACCCAACCAAGGGCAUCUGGAGAUCCCAGCCAUCGCAUGAAGAAGUCUAGGCUAUCCUGCUGGAGAGACCACAUGGAAGAGAACUGAGGCACCCCAGCUGCCAGCCAGCAUGAACUGCCAGCCAUGUCAGUGAGCCUUCCUGGAAGAGCCUUCUCUCCAGUCCCAAUCAAGACUUGAGAUGAUAUAGCCCUGGCCAACACCUUGACUGCAAUCUCAUGACAGACCUUGAGCUAGAAGCACCCAGCUAAGCUGUUCCUGGAUGCCUGAUCCUCGGAAGCUGUGAUGUAAUAAAUGUUUAUUGUAAA
This is a long non-coding RNA of Galeopterus variegatus (Sunda flying lemur), 352 nucleotides long. RefSeq lists it as uncharacterized. The record is from RefSeq and is a predicted model, not a curated record. NCBI's taxonomy places the organism in Eukaryota, Metazoa, Chordata, Mammalia, Dermoptera, Cynocephalidae. The transcript has 2 exons.